This 410-nucleotide ribosomal RNA is filed under the name Arachnia propionica. RNAcentral's name for it is "bacterial SSU rRNA". It matches the Rfam family "Bacterial small subunit ribosomal RNA", at positions 28 to 438 of the family's 1533-position model. The record is from RNAcentral. Lineage: Bacteria; Bacillati; Actinomycetota; Actinomycetes; Propionibacteriales; Propionibacteriaceae.
GACGAACGCUGGCGGUGUGCUUAACACAUGCAAGUCGAACGGUAAGGCCCUUUCGGGGGUACACGAGUGGCGAACGGGUGAGUAACACGUGAGUAACCUGCCCUCAUCUCUGGGAUAACAGUCGGAAACGGUUGCUAAUACUGGAUAUGAGCUUGCAAGGCAUCUUGUGGGUUGGAAAGAUAUUUUUUGGUUGGGGAUGGACUCGCGGCCUAUCAGCUUGUUGGUGAGGUAGUGGCUCACCAAGGCUUCGACGGGUAGCCGGCCUGAGAGGGCGACCGGCCACAUUGGGACUGAGAUACGGCCCAGACUCCUACGGGAGGCAGCAGUGGGGAAUAUUGCACAAUGGACGGAAGUCUGAUGCAGCAACGCCGCGUGCGGGAUGACGGCCUUCGGGUUGUAAACCGCUUUCA